CAAUAUUGGCUUUUGCUUGUGCUGCCCCUUACAAAAAUAAGUUUGUGGCAAAUUUGCUGCAAAUAAAUGUUGCCAGAAGUGUUUGCCACUAGUGGUGAAUCUGCAGCAAACCUUAGGCAACAACAAUAUGUAAUGCCACUAGUGGCAAACAGUUUGCCAGAAGUAGUUCCAAGACCAGUAAGCAUUGAUGACCAGUCAGUGGGAGAAGAAAAAUCUAUUGGAAGUGAUCUACCUACCGAAGUUGUACAAUGGAUACCCUUCCCCUACCCGUCGUGUUGGAAGAGGCUGCAUUGGGAAGAGAAUGCAUCAACACCCUGGAAAGAUGUUUGUGGUGCAUUCACUCAUAACACUUUUUGUUUGUGAUAAAUGAGUGUAACGUAAUCUUCUUCAAGCUUGAUAAGUGCAUGCAGUCAUUAAGCUUUGGACGAAGGACUUCCACAGGGCCGCCAUCUCCAAAGUUCACUCAAAAAGGCAAUAGUUGUGAAGUGGGUUUUAUUUUUUAUUUUUUUUGCAUAUUAUUUUUUUUUCACUUCCAUUGGUUGAAAGCUAAUUUCUCAUCACUAAUCACUUAGGAUGUUUAACUUCUAAAUGUUCAUGAACUAAGGUUACAAUCCCCAUAACCCAUAGAGUUCACAUUUCUCUCAUGUAAAUAUUGUAGCUACAUAAAAAGAUUAAACAAUUUAUUUGGGGAAUAUUCAGUCAUUGCUCUUUUUUCAUUAGCAUGCGGAUAAUCAUUUCAAGAUUAGGAUUUUUCAGGAUAGAUUUUUAUCUGUUAUUAAGACAUUUAAUACAUGUAGUUUAGUAUAUUUAGUACAUUAAGUAUGUUUAGUUUAGCUUCUUGAAGCAAGUUCAUUUAAAGUUAUAUGUGAUUUGGUUUAUGCAGAUAAGGCAUUUAAUUAGUGUUGAGGAAGCUACUCUGAAAAUAUAGUUUACCAAGCUACCAAUUACUUCACACUGGAAUAAGUUAAACUACCCUUAAGAAAAAUAUUGUUUACUUAACUAUAUCUCAGAAUUAGACGUUCAUCCAUGUUUCUCAAAUGUCAAAUUUCAAAGUUGUUGCAAAUGUCAAAUUUCAAAGUGUUUAAGGUUAAGUUUAGGCAUUAACUCUGAAUGUUUUUUUUUAUUUUACCUUUACUUAACUAGGCAAGUCAGUUAAGAACAAAUUCUUAUUUUCAAUGACAGCCUAGGAACAGUGGGUUAACUACCUUGUUCAGGGGCAGAACGACAGAUUUGUACCUUGUCAGCUCGGGGAUUCGAUUUUGAAACCUUUCGGUCACUAGUCCAACGCACUAACCACUAGGCUACCUGCCGCCCCAAGGAAAGAGUUAAGGUUUGGGAUAGGCGUCUAACAAAAAUCUAAAAAAAACGUUGUAACGUUGGAUUUGAACUUGCAACCUUUGGAAUCAGAGGCAGAUGCUUACGCCCAUUUGCCAUCCCUGUCCACAACACCCUGGCACAGCAUUUCCCAAACUCGGUCCCCGGGAACCCAAAGGGUGCACGUUUUGUUUUUUGCCCUAACACUACAUAGCUGAUUAAAAUGAUCAAAGCUUGAUCAUUAGUUCAUUAUUUGAAUCAACUGUGUAAUGAUAGGAUAAAAACCAAAACAUGCAUCCCUUGGAGUCCCGAGGACCAAGUUUGGGAAACCCCGCCCUAGCAAAACUGAAACCUACUUGAAGGUAACAGCGCUCACUGUUGCCCCUAGUGCCCGGUUUCCAUGUCAUCACCCAACAUCCUCAACCAGGUCACCUGGGACACUAGUCAGCCAUCCAUGUGAAGGACUUUGAAUACUUGUAUCACGGGUUACCUGGUUGAUUUAUUAUCAUCUCAAUGUCUCAUCUUUCAAAAUACAUAGAGUCCUCUUAAUUUACAGCAUUUCCCUCACUCAGACAACCAAAAUGUAGCUAAAGCUGCCAAAUAAGCGGAGGGAUGAGGGCAACUUCUUGUCGCGCAUGUUGGGGGUGAGCGGGGCAGCUGUUCAUUCACCCGCACACGCUCGCAAUUGCUAAUAACCCAUCCCCACCCGCCUGACUAUAAGUGAUAAAGUGAAAAUCUGGAGGCCCACAACCGACCCUAACCCAUAAUAUACAAAAAAAAAAAAUUGUAGGCUACAGUCAGAGACGGCAGAAAGAUUUUUGACAGGGGUCCAUGCUUUCUUUUUCUCCUGAUUUAGAUAUGUUUCUGCUUAUAAUUUCCGACAUUUUCGUAGGCAAUUUUUUUAUCAAUUUGUCUAUAGAUGCAUGCAGCUUCUCUUCUGUCAUUAUAUGUGACUAAAUAAACCCUUGCUCGCCAGAAGAAUGUCAUAAACCGAUAGAAUGAAUGCUUCAAUCUAGUUGACAUUGGUAAAGUUCUCUGUCAUCUCCGCUUCUUUCAUGGAGCAAAGACGUUAAGGGACCGGUGAGAAAAUGCUAUAAAAGAAAUACUAAAAUGUAAAGACCGGUUGUAAGGAAAGGAAAUAGAAAGCUGUGAAAACGACCCCAACAUGUUUCUGCUAAGAUUUCAGUUCGGCUUGGAUGCAUAUUUUAUGUGGUUGAAAUACUAUCAGCUUUUAUGAUGCUGAUUAAGAUAGCACCUCUACAGAUGGUAUCUAACUGCGGAUUCACAUUCUCUCAAGAUGCUGAAAGAAAUAAAUCAUAUUUCUCCACUCCUGUUCCUGAGUCAAAAUUUUGCCUACAUUUAGUGUAUCAUUUUAAUGGAAGAAAUGCUUAAUUCUGCAGGAAUUCAUAUUAAGGUUAUAGACCUACAGUCAGAUUUCAGUUUCAAUGUAAUCCAUCUGAACAGUAGACUACAGUAGGCCAUUGUUUUCUCUUUAUUCAACCCGCCACCCACCCACCCUUCAUCCACACAAUAUUUCAUGACCCUAAACCUGCCUGCCCCGCAAUAUAACUGUGGGGUCUGCGGGUUAAGAGUCAGCCCACGCAUCAUUAGCGAGUGGCGCUCAAGUUCAGAACGGCUGUCAGUCAAACCCAUAGAGAGCUGUGAAGCGGAGACCCUGAGAUCUGACGUCAUGUAUAGCAUGUUACUGUACAGCCACUGUGUUCUAAUUUACACUCUUAUCAGUGUCCAAAUCUGCCACUUUCAACCUGCGUACAGGUGCGAGUGUAAAAGGCUACCUAAAGUUACUUUGAAAAAGUAGUUCACUACAUUCAAACUACCUCGUGAAAAAUGAUCAUCAUGUAAAUCUGAAAUGUCAUAGACUACAAAUUGCAUAGACUACAAAUUUAGUCAAUUAACCCUAGGAUGCAUAUGCCGGGUCAAAAUGACCCGGCCUAAUGUUUUUUUUUUUCCUGUAUUGACCCCCCUCCCCCAAAAUGUAAUUACCUAAUAUUCCAGGAAUUCCUUAAAUAAUGUGUCUUUAAUGUUCUAACAUCCUAGUUUUGUUUUUUAAUUUCUUAUUUUUUAAGUAAAAUAGCUUUUGCUUCACUACCCCAAGUUUUCAUAUGUGGGUCAAAUAUGACCCUUAUGUAUUUCUUAUGGAAUCCACUGCAUUGCACUUUGUUUUUGCUACAACAAUAAAAUCAAAGUAAUUAAUAAAAUAUUUAUUAUAUAUCUUGUUUAUAAUGUUCAUU
Molecule: long non-coding RNA, 3566 nt
Filed under: Salmo trutta (river trout)
Lineage: Eukaryota; Metazoa; Chordata; Actinopteri; Salmoniformes; Salmonidae
Description: lncRNA (ENSSTUG00000014858.1)
Source: RNAcentral